Molecule: ribosomal RNA, 305 nt
Filed under: uncultured bacterium
Lineage: Bacteria
Description: bacterial SSU rRNA
Rfam family: Bacterial small subunit ribosomal RNA
Source: RNAcentral
AAGGCCCUACGGGAGGCAGCAGUGGGGAAUAUUGGGCAAUGGGCGCAAGCCUGACCCAGCAACGCCGCGUGAAGGAAGAAGGCUUUCGGGUUGUAAACUUCUUUUCUCAGGGACGAAGCAAGUGACGGUACCUGAGGAAUAAGCCACGGCUAACUACGUGCCAGCAGCCGCGGUAAUCCGUAGGUGGCAAGCGUUAUCCGGAUUUACUGGGUGUAAAGGGCGUGUAGGCGGGGACGCAAGUCAGAUGUGAAAAACACGGGCUCAAUCUGUGGCCUGCGUUUGAAACUGUGUUUCUUGAGUACUGG